GCCGAGCUGCGCGCUCUUCUGAAGGGAGAGGAGGGCGGCGGAUCGCGGAGCAUGUGUACGUUUUUUUUUGUUUUUCCGGGAACUUCCACAAUGUUACGAAACCUCGAUCCGUCUCUCCUGGCCAAAUUCUUUCGCGUGGAGACCACUUCUAUCGCUCAGCCUAAACACACACACACCGCCAUUUCUAUGAAUGUUUACGACCAGCUUCUCCAACACAAGAGGUCACCUAGCGGCUUGUUUCUCCUGAAAACGGGGCUGGGAGAUCGCGAGCAAGCCGGCCGUGGACUGGAUCGAUCCUGAGGAGGACUAUCACGAGAUCCUGAGGGCCAUCAAGGGAAAGCUGGCUGUUGACGUGACGACCUCGCCUCUCUCUCCUCCUCGCACCCCCCCACGUGUGCAUCCACAUUUUUGGGGAGGGGGGUGUAGAUGAAAACUUGCCUCACCUCCCCAAGGAAGGUGGUAAGUUUGUGGGUUCCCGUUGUCACCCAAAGCCAGCAAAAACACGAACUGCUGUCCUUAACUCACCCGUGUAGAUGCGAGUGUGGUUAAUUGCGUUUGCACAUCUGCUAUGUCACUUAGCAGAAAACAACAAGGAGCGAGGAUGGAGUUAAAUGCUCACUGAAGGCUGCUUUUCCUUGGUUAUGUGGGCUUAAUAUUAGACUGGCAGCAUUAUUCCAACGCAUAAUUCUUUCCUAGUUUGUCUCCUCUUGUGUAUGUGUAUGUAAUAUAUAUAUGCGCCCUAAGGAAACACAUUAGGAAAGAAUUAUGUGUUCAGAUGAUACAUAAUACGACUAGAAAAAUGACCUCUCAGAAGUCAAAUGGUGGAAAAAGCAGAAAUGCAAUUGCUGUAUGCUUGUGGUGAUAGUGACCCCUAUAUAUUUUUCCUCUAAAGGCUCAAUUAAAUAAUCUUGCAGGAUUAAUUCUUUGAGUUUUGGACAGUUAACUGAUUAAAUCUGCACCCAUUUUCUUAAGAAUAAAGGAAUCCUUCCAAAGGAAAACUACCCAGUGAUGUAUGCCUAGGUUGCAACAGGCACCAUAUUGGGAUACCUCUUCUAAGUUGACCAGGAAAAAGUGGGAAGGAGUAGCUUCAAAAGAGAAGAUGGAACCUGCCACCUGCAGUUUUGUAAGAUUUUUAAAAUAGGACUUGUAAAAAAGCAGGUGGCAUUCCCAAUAAUGAACACACACACACACACACACACACACACACACUGUACCCAAUUACUUUUUUAUUGAUCAAAAGCAGUUGAUGAAUCAAACUGUUUAGGCAGCUAAACAUUGCAGUCUUCUUUCCAGUAAUCAUUCCCCUGAUAUGAUCAUUUUAAUCUUCAAAGUGAGAGUGCUGCUGUUUGUGUAGCCAAAAUGGCACCACCAACAUGCAACUGAGAGGUAUCAGCAGAUUUUGGGGGAUCUCAAGGUUUGAGAAGUACAAAUUAUCAAAAAUGUUCCUUCCAACAGCCUAAUGAGAACUGAGCAAUGCUCUGUGGCUAUAGAAUGCUGACCAACUUUUUUGGGUGAACAGAAAAACCUGUGAGUAUGGGAUGGGAUGGAAUGGAGAAUUGAAUGGUGUAGCCUGGCAUCCUAUGCAGGGACACUUUAAACUGCUUUGAGUGUCCGUAUGCAGCCAAACAGUACCAUCCCCAUAAAGGAGGGAUGUGUCAGCAGGCUUGUGGGGAGUACAACAAUCACAAACAGACUAGUGAGGACUGAGUGUUCUCUAUGUACUCCCAGACCAAUGAGGGGGGCAGAAAACCCAGACAGGAAGGGGAAUGGCAUGAAAUGGCUGGAAUCCUAAACAGCAGUACUCCACACUGCAACAUUUUGUUGCAGGAUCCACUUGCACGUUCUAUUGACUUAAAUAUUAACUUCUCACACAAAAUUGCCAGCAUGGACAAUGAAACUACCGGUAGUCUUUCUAAUUUACACAACCAAUUAGAGUUCAAAACGUGUGUGGAGGCUUAAACUGGUUAUUCCUGCAUCUAUAAUACAGAUGUAAAACCUACAUACCUUUGACUAGGUCAAUUUCAUUUAAAAAUAGCUGUAUUCGGUACCAGGUAAACAUUUAGACAUGUGCAGCAGCAGUACAAGAAAGGUUCAUAAGGCAUGAGUGUGCAAAGCCUGAGUAUGGUAUGUGGUAGAAUUGUUGUGAGAUUGUUUUGCCGUCACCUGACUUCCAACUUAAUCCACAUGUUUGCAUCAUUACAACACAGCUGAAAGUCAACUUGCACAUUAGGUAUACAUGCUGAACUCUGCAUGGAUCUACUCAGACCACAUUCCUAGCACACCAGUCUGCUGGAUGUGUGUGUGGCAUGGGCAUAGCAAAGGGGGGGGGGAGCUGCCUCACGCAGGGUAAAACAAUAGAAAUAUACUUAACUAACUGACCAAUCACACUGGUUCUGCCCCCCCUUAACAAAAAUCCUGGCUACGCCCAUGGUGUGCCUCUCAUUGUUUUUCAGUAUCACUGGAUUCAUGCAAAAAGUUGUCUCUCCCUACCAAGGUGGGUAGAUAAUCAAACUAUUCCUAGGACUGUGUAUGUAUGUGCUAUGUGAGUCCGUGAAUCUGGUACAAGAUUCAUCACCUAGCAUGCCAAGAAUCUCAGCUUUCAAAAAGCAAUUUUCUCACUUUGAAGCAAUAGCUGUGAAUUCUGAUAAGAACUGGAGAAGCUGUCAUGGCCCUAAGAUGGGGACCUUGGGGUAGAGUGUUGAAUGGCCUCAUGAAGAGAACUACAUCCAUUUCAGUUUCAGAUGCAGCAGUGAAAGGCAUGUGGCAUUUCUUGGACCGGAGAAUGAAAACCCCACCACCCCUGUCCUCUGCUCCAACUCUCCUUCCUUAAAAACAUCCUACCAUCUUUAUCUCUCCGCAACUCCUCUCUAUCUCUGCUUCUCUCCACUGACAUCCAACCCCUCUCUGCCUUUUCCCCUCCCCAAAGCCCCUGAUUCUCUUUCAUAGUUCUUCCUCUUGAACUGGCACUUGAACCUUACCUCUACCACACAGGCCAGGCCCCAGGCCCCGUGUAUCUCUAUCUUGCCUAUGGGGAAAUGCCAUAGUGCAGUGGCAGAACAUCUACCUUGCAUGCAGAAGGUCCAAGGUUCAACCCCAGUUUCUCCAGGUAGGAAACACCCCUGCUUAAAACCCUGGAGAGCUUCUGCCAGUCAGUGUGAGCAGCUUUCUAUCUAUGUAUCCACCAACAGAGAGGAACAGCUAUGGGGCGUGAGGCUCUUCCAUCACUGGACUACCCCCAGCAUCCUCUGCCUGAAGCAGUCACCUCAUUCUGUUUGUAGAGCUAAUCUUGGCUUACACUGUCCCUAUUCCAGGAACCCCGUGGCUCUCUUUUUGGCUCUUCCUGUCUCACACGGCAAAGUUUUACCUUCCCCCAUGGCAGCAAAUAGCAACCCCUCAUUUACCUAGGAGAAUGGAAAAGGAGGCCCCUGGGGGCCCUGCCCUCCCCAGCCAGUCACCCAGUCACUGCUGCCAUUAAGAACCCUUCUGCUAUCCCAACUUGAGCUCAAUUUCAUGGUCAAUCUAAUUAUGUGGGGCAGAAUGUUGGUGAGCCUGAAUAUGCAGAACAAGUGACCCUAGAUGUUCAUAUAUUAGCCCUAAUGAACUCAGAUGUAUAUUUGGUUGUGAAUCCAUCCCAUCUCAGGAAACCUGCUGGUCUUCAUGUGCAUGGUGCUGAGUAAGGAGCUCAGGAGGGGCAGGGAAGAAAGCCCUGAUUAGUUUGCACUAAUGAAGUUGUCUGGGAGCUCUGACGAAUUGGAUAACUCCUUUGUUGGCAUAAGGCUUUGUUCACACUCCUGUUGGCUGUGCACCCGCUGCAUUUCCAGUGCUGGGUUUUUAAUCCAUGCACACACAAUGUUGCCCAAAAUGCACAGUUUCUUAUGAAGUGCUACUGUUUGAUGCAUUGUUUCUCAAACCACCUUCACACUGGUUGGAGCCCUUAAACCAUCCUUACUUCAUUUCCAGCCAAGGUGUGAACACCUUUGCAGAGGGCAAAGGCAUCCUUGCCCUGUCAACGCUACCUGGUGUGUGCAAAAAUAGAAACAAAUCUGACACUAACAAAGCCAUGCUGAUGUGAACAGCUAGCAGGAGUGGGGAGUUGACAACAACUUACAGUACAUCCAAGCUUUGUGCUUUUGGGUUUUUGAGUCUGAGGAGCCGUCCUGGGAACCUUUGAUUAGGAAAGUUACGUAGUUUUGAGGAAACAAGUGGCUCAUUUUGUUCCUUUUGCUUCCCCCCUCCCCAGCCUUUAACCUCUUUAUAUAUAUUCCUAUUGGGUGUUUAAAAAAAAAAGUUUGUUUGAUGGUUAAAAUUUGGUUUGCUAGCCAAGCAGGGCAUUGUUACAGUGAGUGCAUUUAGACUGAUGGAACAGGGAGCGAAUGAUUUGGAAAAGAGAAAGAAAUAAAUGCAGUGCGUUUUUGUGGGGGGGGGGGAGACUUACUCCGCUUAUAAGCAACCAUUCGCAUUGUCAGCUGUAACAAAGUGCCUGCAGGGAAGCUCAGCACAACAUGUGUCCCCACUGCCACACCCACCUUUAGGCGACACAUCAUCAUUCAUAAUAAAAAUAAUAAUAUGAAUAAAAAGAUUAAUAAAAUAAUAACAUCUAUAAAAUUCAGUGAUGUAUAAUAUGACAUUUUUAUAUUUUCCUUCCUUCAAGGAUCUUUUGAUGGUAUACAUAUACAUAGUUCCACCCUACACCAUUUUAUUUUCACAACAAACCUGAGGGAUAGUAUUUUUUAAAUUAUUGAAAGUUUGGGAUAUUACUAUUAAUAAUUUCAAUUCCUUUUCUGCCAUUCACUAUGCGGUCCCAAGGCAGGUUCAUAUACUAAUAUUGCUGUUUGUUUAUUCAUAUAGUCAUAUAGAACAAAAAAGUACCCACCCUCCCCAGAUAGCCCAUGCUCUCUAAACCAAAAUGAGACGUAAGCCCCGAUCUCAUCUUCACUGAUCAAGUGGAAGGAGGAAGGGGAUUGUGGCCCCUGCCCCCAGUUUUGGCAAUAAGACAUGGGAAGGGAUCUCUGCAUAUACAGAUAGAUGCUUUGGCUUUGUACAAAUAAACAAAUUACUACUGAACAGGGAUAUAGAAGGAGGAAUUGAAUUUCAUUCAGGUUCAAGGAAGCAACCACAGUGUAAGAAAACGCGGUGGUCCACAAAGAACAAGCAAACUAGAAUAGUGAUUUGGACUGCAGAAACAGAAAGGUUAAGUAUAAUUGAGCCAGUCCAACUCCUCUCCUGAGGCAGCGUACCACUGUGGAUGUUUCAGGAGGUGGCAAUGAGGAAUUUUGCCUCCUUCCAAAGGAACAUCAGCUUUUAAAAAGGAUGAAUAAGGCAUUUCCCGUAACUACAGAAAUAUCCUACCUAGAGUGUGCUCUCUCUUGUUCUCUAUUUAUCCAUACAUAUAUUCAAGAGGAGCAUCCCAGUUCCUAUGGCAAUCCAUAGAAACAGGAAACAGUUACAGGAAACAUAGAAAGGACCAGCCAGUUAGUGUAGGGAGACCAUAGGUCAUGCAUCCGGUACAGCAAGAAUGCCCCUGGCUCGGGCCUCCUUUCCCUGUCUUCUUUCAAAUGUAAAUGUACAGAACUUUCUAACUCUCUUCCCUAGUGAGUAAUCAUUGCAGGGAUGCAGCCUUUGGUUUAUAGCAUGCUAGCAGUUUCAUGGCACCCGUCCUGUAGAUAUUCCGAUAAUUAGAUCUAUGCUUUCUUCGAACUUCCACUGUUAUUUGAAAUUAGUAUGUCUUUUAAUAUGUUUCAUUUCACAGUUUUGAAAUGAUGAGUAAGUGCAGGUUGUGCCAUUUGAGUUCAUUGCAGCUACAUACAUUUUAAGCUUCCUGCUCUACUUUUACCUUUCCUUCAACUCCCACGAUGUAAAUGCAAAAUGUCUUUUUUUUAAAAAAAACAACCCUUUGCUUAUUUAUAAAAAUAUUUAUAGACCAGGGUGGUGUACAACAACAUUGAGAGAUCAAGACUCUGUAAUUUUAAAGCUCAUUAUUUGUGUGGGGUCUGGAGGCUUUGUAGGGAGAUUCAUAGUGAUUUUAAACUUUUCAUCCCAAGCGUCUGGUGAUUUGUAGUCUGUGUAAAGUAUUUGCCAGUCUCCGAUUUAUCUCAUGAUUUGCCCCGAUAGAAACUGUACUAGUAGCUCAUGCCAUCCCACACAAUACCACACCCUGUAUCAAUUUGCAUUGCAAAAUUAGUGCCUCACAAAGACACUAGUCUUCCCAUGGUGUGUCUUAAUGCUAAUAAAAGGUUUUAGGACAAACAUUUCCCAAAGCGUUUCCUCUUGGCCAUUGGAGCAGCUCUACUUUGAUCUUGGACAGCGCAAGCCCUAUGCCUGUUUAACUUGGUAAUGCAUGCAAUGGGAUUUACCCCAUAGUAUAAGUGUGUUUAAGAUUACAGCUUAAAAAAUAAAAUAACAUGGUUGCCAUGUACUUCCACUUAUUCACCAAUGUUCAUAACAACAAUUUUUAUUUUUAUUUUUAACUUGGCACAUCCAAUAUAGUUUGCAAAAUUGCUGUCCUCGUAUAUGUUUCCAUCAAUGAUACCAAAACUUUUUUUAAAAAAAGUUGUUAGCAAUAUCCAAGAUGGGUGUAUUUCCAGCGGUCUAUUCCUUUGGCAAUUUUUUUUUUUUAAAAAUGUACACUUCCAUCCUGAAAUGCACAUCCAUGGAGUGCCACUGGUGGGAAUUCCACCCACAGAGCUUCUGCCCAUUUGGCGGACAGAAUGGGGAGCUCCAUGCUAGUAGAGGACAUUAGAGUUGGGCAAAAGUGACACCUCCGUCCAGCCCAAACCUUCCCCCUGCCCCUGACUAGUACAAAGCAGGGUUGAAUUGUAGGCUCACUGCAUUUAUUGCAGCCUACUCUGUGGUUUGGUGUGGUUUUUUUUUUCAUUAAUAGGCUGCUGGCUGCUGGCUGCUUUGGGGUCCUUUGGGCCAAAAAGUGGUGUAUAACUAAAUCAUAACAUAUUAACACAAGCAUGGACAAUAUUCAGCUAUUGUGCCUCCUUUCAGUGCAAGCUUUUCUGCUUAUGCAACGGGACUCUUCCUCCUCUUCCCCACCUGCCCAGAGCAGAUUUGGGGAAGAAAGGGGGGGGGAGUCCUAUUAUUUUACAGGAAGAAAUCCUUGCACACUUAAGAUGCCCUGCUCAGCUCUACUUUGGAUACAACCCCAUAUGAAUAAGAAGUGCACAACAGGAACGGUUGAGGGAGCUGGGUAUGUUUAGCCUGGAAAAGAGGAGACUGAGAGGAGAUAUGAGAGCUAUCUUCAAAUGUCUCAAGCGCUGUCACAUGGAAGGCGGAGCAAGGCUGUUUUCUGCUGCUCUGGAGGGUAGAAUCCAAACGAGUGGAUUCAAGUUACAAGAAAGGAGAUUGCAAUUAAACGUCAGGAAGAACUUUCUGACAGUAAGAGCUGUUCAAGGAGGUUGUGGACUCUCCUUCAUUGGUGGUUUUUGGGCAGGGGUUGGAUGGCUAUCUGUCAUGGAUGCUUUAGUUGAGAUUCCUGCAUUGCGGGGAGUUGGAUUAGAGGACCCUCAGGGUCCCUUCCAACUCUACAAUUCUCUGGUUCUGCAAUCUAAUACUGGCUGUGCUAGUAUCACCACAAAGACCUUUUCUAAGUUCCCCAAUUGCCAAUGGACGCUUAUCUCUUGACAUUUCCAUGUUCAGCCCUUAAAUCUUCCUCCUUUCAUGCCAGUCAUGUCCAUCUAGCACAGAUUAGACAUUAUCUGGGCAGGAAUCAUUUUAUUUCUCUUUGCUGUACAGUGCCUGACCAACCAUUGGCACUAAAUAAAUAUUUCUUAGUAGGAGUAUGUACUGUAAACAGGAUACAGUGUGCAGAGCUCACAAAGAAACAAGAAAGAACAAUGCACCGAGAAACAAAAUGUUAAGGACUGCAUUGGGACAAAUGCAGGUGUCUAAGUAUUUAUUAUUAAAAACGAUUUGAGGCAGGAGGCGGAAAUGGGGCUUUGGUAUUCAUUUAACCUGUUUAUGUUUGUGUGUCUGUUUAAUGCUGAGCACUUUCAUUAUCCAGGCAAAGAGUCAGCAGGCGGAGCUCCCACACUAGUAUGAAAGGAGCCCACAAAAAUGAUGAUUGGUUUGCUCUUUAAAAGUUCUCCAUGUGUUAUGGAAUUUUGUCUUGAGCUGGCCUUUGCAAUUCAGACAGCCCAGCCUAACUAUCUGAAAGACAACUGCGCACACAUUUCAUUCUUACCUAGUUCCAAGCCCCUACUUAAUGGUGCCGAUUUAAAGGGAAAUAAAAAUGGCAAAACCCACAUUAAAAUAACAGUGAGAUUGACGUAAACUGACAAAAGCCAGGAAAUUCUCUGUUAAGGCAGCCACUCUGUCCUUGACUCACCCUAUUGUGCCUGUGUAUUGCAGUAGUCCGUAUGUUAUGUAAGGUUGCACCGUUCCGAGAUCUCGGCAAUACUUAUGCUAAAGCAGUUGAGUGCAGGAUAUAACCCAUGCCUCGGAAUUGUUUUCUUUUUUUCUUUUUUUUUCCUUCCCCCACCUCCACCUGAGCAGGGAGCAGGUGCGAAAGCAGAGCAACCCACUGCUCAGACUCUAACUAGGUGCCAGCACAGUUGACCCACCGUCUAGAGUUCCUCCUCCAUCCUCCCAGUUCUGGUUUUAGGUGUGCUUCAGUCCACAGGCACUAUCUUUCAGAGCUUGGCACUCUGGGCAGCCACCAACAGCAACCCUCGUGUAUUCCAAGCAGAGCAGUUGCAUCUUCUAUGAGUCAUGAGCCCACUCAGUGCAUCUUAGGACCUUUCCAGAUACUGAAGCUACCAGAGCUGACAUCAUCACCCCACCACUAAGCUGAUGCUAGCAGUAUGGCAUCCCACUCAACAUGAGGGAAGAAAAAUAAAUUGGCUGCAGGGGGGGGGGUAGAUUAGCCUAGGGAAGGAGAAGGAGUCAUUUGU
This is a non-coding RNA of Podarcis lilfordi (Lilford's wall lizard), 8897 nucleotides long. The record is from the annotation of a GenBank genome assembly. Lineage: Eukaryota; Metazoa; Chordata; Lepidosauria; Squamata; Lacertidae.